Non-coding RNA from Ameiurus melas (black bullhead), 72 nucleotides. NCBI's taxonomy places the organism in Eukaryota, Metazoa, Chordata, Actinopteri, Siluriformes, Ictaluridae. The record is from the annotation of a GenBank genome assembly.
GCACGGUGGCUUAGUGGUUAGUACAUUUGCCUCACACGUUCAGGGUCAGGGGAUCGAUUCCCACCACGUCCC